Long non-coding RNA from Equus caballus (horse), 2877 nucleotides. The record is from Ensembl. Lineage: Eukaryota; Metazoa; Chordata; Mammalia; Perissodactyla; Equidae.
CCCAUCACAGUUUUUACCAUGAAUUUUUAUAGGAUCCAAUCAAGAGACAAUGGUGGGCCUUAACCAAAGUGGUUGUCUUCUUAACCACUUAUCAUCUCUUAACUGGAUGCCAGCAAAAUCCCAAACUAAAUACUAUUGUUUUGUCUUUUUACAGAUGUCUACCCAAAAGGAGAUGAUGUCUCAAUCCAAGUUCUUGACGCUGGAUUUUUCUUCCAGUUAAGGGAUUUUUGAGAACCUUUGUAUGGUAUCAAAGGUUAAUUUUGCUUGCAUCCAAUUAAAAGAUGAUGAUGUUUGUACCAAAGUUGGAGCUCAUGAGAUUUUGCAGAUAUCCACAUAAGCAAUGAUAGUGUUUGUAAGCCAACAUGGAGAUCAUGUUUAUUUGCAAGUAUUCUUGUACGUUGUGUUGACUAACCACCUUAGUGAUCAGGGGAAUUUUGCAGAUAUGUUGUCACACUUGUGAAGAUGUCUCUAACUAAGGUGUUUUCUUUGGAUAUUUGUAGAUAUCCAGGUAAAAGUUGAUGGUGUCUCUAAUCAAGCUAAUGACCAUGGGAUUUUGCAGUUAUCCAGGCAAGAGAUGCUGUGCCCCUACCGUGAUACUGACCCUGGGCAAUUCUAAGUGUUCAGGUAAGAGAUGGUAUUUGUCUGAUUGCAUUAGUGACCAUGGAGGUCUUUGCUGAUAUGCAGGCAGAAGAUGAUUGUGCCUGUAUCUACAGUACUGACCUUUGAAUUUUGCAUGUAUCCAGGUAAGAGCUAAUCUCUCCCUUACUGUGCUAGUGGCCUUGGGAUAAUUUGGUUGUCCAGGUAAGGAGUGAUGUGUCCUUAACCAUGUUAGUUACCAUGGGAUUUUGCAGGUAUCCAGAUAGGAGAUGAUGGUGGCCCUAACCAUGGUAUUGACCAGGGGAUUCUGCAGGUAUCUAGUGUAAAAUUCUCCUUAAGGAAGCCCUGGGUCUCAGUCCUAAACUCCCAGCUAGAGACAUCGCCAAUGAAGGGAAGCAACCUAAUCUGAAUUUCAGCUCAGCUAGAAAUCUAAACUGGAAAACUUUAGAAGAAACACCUGGAAAAGCAGUGUAUCAACAUUCAAAAUGCAGAAACACAGGCAUAAUGAGAUGAUGAAAUUCAUUCAUGGCCAUUUUCGUCUAAAUCAAUGAUUUCUCAACCAGGUGUGAUUUUUUUCCCCCAGGGGACAUUUUGGCAAUGUCUGGAGACAUUUCUGGUUGUCAUGACUCACGAAGCAGGUGGAGUGAUACUGGCACCUAGUGUACGGAGGUCAGGGAGCUGCUAUAAACAUCCUAUCAGGCACAAGACCACUCAUCACAAAGAAUGAUCCAGCCCCAGACAUCAGUAGUGCCGUGGUGGAGGACCCCUGCUCUACAGCAUUACCUUGUUGGAGUGGUAUCUCCAAAUCUCCAGAUCCAGAUGGAGUUAGUGAUAUUGCCAUGGUUGACCUCAACUCCCAGCAGGUUCAACAUGGUGAUCUUUCCCACUGCUCACCCUAGGAUACCUCCAUUAGGUCUGGGAACUCAAUCUGUGCAGAGUCUAAACUCUAACAUGUUCCUUGCUGCUACACUGUUGAUUUUCUCAGAAGGUAAUGGCCGUGCUUUUAUUUUGAAGUGGUUCAGGCUCCUUUUAAUUAGGAAGACAUAGGUGCAUUUCUACUCAGAUAUAUGGGCCAGUUCAUUUCAUUUGAGUAGAAACAAAGUCAAAUGCUAGAUCAAGGAAAGAGCCCUCUGAUGAAGCCUCUACAGCACAUUGUGUUAACUUUUCCAUGCUAACUAAUGUUGAGAAAGGGGAAGCUUUGUAUUCUUUUUUUGCACCUUUGUCACAGAAUCACCUGUUGACCUACUUCUGGCAUUCUGCUUAAACCAUCGUGUGCUGGAGUCUAUAGAAAAUGCAGUCGAGGAGAGAGAGGACACGGGGGAAAGAGAAAAGAGAUAUUUUAUAACUUAAAGUGCAUGAGCAUAGACCCUCCCCUUUGUUAUUUACAAAUUAUACUAUGAAGCAAAAAUAUUGAGUGACGGUAACUUCAACCAAAAUUACAUUCAAGUUAAAAAAGACUUGGGAACCAUCCCUGAUUAUUUUCUCAUCCCAUUACAGUCAAGAUUUAGUAGACUACCUAAAAUACAAAGACAACCAGGACAAAAUUCUUCUCUUUGAGUUAAGGUCAGCAGAGAGAUAGGUCAUGAAACAGCUUUCUGAGACAGAAAGAAGAGAGGUGGUCAGGGACUGGGGGAGGGGGAAAUGGGGAGACAGUGCUUCAUGGGUACGGAGUCUGGGGUAAUGAAAAUGUUUCGGAAACAGAUAAUGGUGAUGGCUGCACAGCUUUGUGAAUGUGGUUAAUGCCUCUGAAUUUUACACUUAAACAUGGUUAAAAUUGCAAAUUUUAUGUUAUACAUACUUUGCUACAAUAAAAACAAUUAUCUGUGAAGUGCAGCAAUGGCUAUAGGUGAGAUAUAUGGAAAAGAUCUUGUGGGUAAACAGAAGAAAUAAUCAUUUAAAAACAAAAUUUAUUGAAUUCAUACUUUUUCUUAGACACUUUUCUAGGCAUUUGAUAAUCAGUGUCUCAGUCUGCGUCCUCCAAGAAGCAGAUGCCAAGAUGAAAUGAGGAAUUAAAUAUACUAGAUGUAUUGGGGAAACACCUCUGCAGGAUAAAGGGGAGGAAGCAGGAGCAGGCAGGAAGAGUCUCCAGCUGCAGUGCAAGUCUGACACCAAGGAGUAAUUGAUCCCGCCUGGGGGCCGUGGCAAAGACUUCACAGAGGAAGUAAUAUUUAAGCAGAGUAUUCUUAAAAAUAGUAAAAUAGUUCUUGCAUUUUUGGAAAAAAUGUUUUAUCUCUUUUUAUUGUCAAAACUUUGGAAAGUAUUAAAAGGAAAGUCAAAGAG